AGAGUUUGAUCAUGGCUCAGGACGAACGCUGGCGGCGUGCUUAAUACAUGCAAGUCGAGCGAGGUUACUGCGACAGAUCCCUUCGGGGUGAAGUUGCUUUAGCCUAGCGGCGGACGGGUGAGUAACGCGUGGGUAACCUACCCUAAAGUUCGGGAUAACAGCGGGAAACCGCUGCUAAUACCGGAUGCCUUUACCGUGUGGCAUCACAGGGUAAAGAAAGGUAACGCUUUAGGAUGGGCCCGCGUCCCAUUAGCUAGUUGGUGAGGUAACAGCUCACCAAGGCGACGAUGGGUAGCCGGCCUGAGAGGGUGGACGGCCGCACUGGGACUGAGACACGGCCCAGACUCCUACGGGAGGCAGCAGUAGGGAAUAUUGCGCAAUGGACGGAAGUCUGACGCAGCGACGCCGCGUGAGCGAUGAAGGCCUUCGGGUUGUAAAGCUCUGUCCUUGGGGAAGAAGGUCUUCGGACUUGACGGUACCCAAGAAGAAAGCCCCGGCUAACUACGUGCCAGCAGCCGCGGUAAUACGUAGGGGGCGAGCGUUGUCCGGAAUUACUGGGCGUAAAGGGUGCGUAGGCGGCCCUUUAAGUCAGAUGUGAAAGCCCGCAGCUUAACUGCGGAAUUGCAUUUGAAACUGGAGGGCUUGAGUGUCGGAGAGGGUAGUGGAAUUCCCAGUGUAGCGGUGAAAUGCGUAGAUAUUGGGAGGAACACCAGUGGCGAAGGCGACUGCCUGGACGAUAACUGACGCUGANGCACGAAAGCUAGGGGAGCAAACAGGAUUAGAUACCCUGGUAGUCCUAGCCGUAAACGAUGGGUACUAGGUGUAGGUGGUUUCGAUACCAUCUGUGCCGUANUUAACGCAUUAAGNUACCCCGCCUGGGGAGUACGUGCGCAAGCAUGAAACUCAAAGGAAUUGACGG
RNAcentral lists this ribosomal RNA (919 nucleotides) under uncultured bacterium. RNAcentral's name for it is "bacterial SSU rRNA". It matches the Rfam family "Bacterial small subunit ribosomal RNA", at positions 8 to 916 of the family's 1533-position model. The record is from RNAcentral.